GGAGGAAAGCAGGGGAUCGCAAGACCUUGCACUUUUGGAGCGGCCGAUGUCUGAUUAGCUAGUUGGUGGGGUAAUGGCCUACCAAAGCUUCGAUCAGUAGCUGGUCUGAGAGGACGGCCAGCCACACUGGGACUGAGACACGGCCCAGACUCCUACGGGAGGCAGCAGUGGGGAAUUUUGGACAAUGGGCGCAAGCCUGAUCCAGCCAUGCCGCGUGAGUGAAGAAGGCCUUCGGGUUGUAAAGCUCUUUCAGCCGGGAAGAAAAGGUUGCGAUUAAUAAUCGCAAUUUAUGACGGUACCGGAAGAAGAAGCACCGGCUAACUACGUGCCAGCAGCCGCGGUAAUACGUAGGGUGCGAGCGUUAAUCGGAAUUACUGGGCGUAAAGGGUGCGCAGGCGGUUUUGUAAGUCAGAUGUGAAAUCCCCGGGCUUAACCUGGGAACUGCGUUUGAAACUACAAAGCUAG
This 465-nucleotide ribosomal RNA is filed under the name uncultured bacterium. RNAcentral describes it as "bacterial SSU rRNA". It matches the Rfam family "Bacterial small subunit ribosomal RNA", at positions 198 to 644 of the family's 1533-position model. The record is from RNAcentral.